RNAcentral lists this ribosomal RNA (378 nucleotides) under Salmonella enterica. RNAcentral describes it as "partial 23S ribosomal RNA". It matches the Rfam family "Bacterial large subunit ribosomal RNA", at positions 2425 to 2802 of the family's 2925-position model. RNAcentral also lists the same sequence under 3 other names. The record is from RNAcentral. Lineage: Bacteria; Pseudomonadati; Pseudomonadota; Gammaproteobacteria; Enterobacterales; Enterobacteriaceae.
GGUUCUGAAUGGAAGGGCCAUCGCUCAACGGAUAAAAGGUACUCCGGGGAUAACAGGCUGAUACCGCCCAAGAGUUCAUAUCGACGGCGGUGUUUGGCACCUCGAUGUCGGCUCAUCACAUCCUGGGGCUGAAGUAGGUCCCAAGGGUAUGGCUGUUCGCCAUUUAAAGUGGUACGCGAGCUGGGUUUAGAACGUCGUGAGACAGUUCGGUCCCUAUCUGCCGUGGGCGCUGGAGAACUGAGGGGGGCUGCUCCUAGUACGAGAGGACCGGAGUGGACGCAUCACUGGUGUUCGGGUUGUCAUGCCAAUGGCACUGCCCGGUAGCUAAAUGCGGAAGAGAUAAGUGCUGAAAGCAUCUAAGCACGAAACUUGCCCCGA